UCCCUACGGGGGGCAGCAGUAGGGAAUUUUCGUCAAUGGGCGCAAGCCUGAACGAGCGAUGCCGCGUGAGUGAAGAAGGCCUUCGGGUCGUAAAGCUCUGUUGCGGGGGAAAAAAGGCAUCUGCAGGAAAUGGUAGAUGACAGAUGGUGCCCCGCCAGAAAGUCACGGCUAACUACGUGCCAGCAGCCGCGGUAAUACGUAGGUGGCAAGCGUUAUCCGGAAUGAUUGGGCGUAAAGGGUGCGCAGGCGGCGUGGCAAGUCUGAAGUGAAAGGUACGGGCUCAACCUGUACAGGCUUUGGAAACU
Molecule: ribosomal RNA, 305 nt
Filed under: uncultured bacterium
Lineage: Bacteria
Description: bacterial SSU rRNA
Rfam family: Bacterial small subunit ribosomal RNA
Source: RNAcentral